This 1214-nucleotide long non-coding RNA is filed under the name Medicago truncatula (barrel medic). RNAcentral's name for it is "long non-coding RNA (MTRU_LNC007451)". Lineage: Eukaryota; Viridiplantae; Streptophyta; Magnoliopsida; Fabales; Fabaceae. The record is from RNAcentral.
AAAAAAAAACUUAAGCAUCAAUUAUCAAUCUCAUCGUCUUGUGCUUCCAAAUCUUGAAAUUAUUCAUCGAUAUCAUUAUUAUUUAUCUAACAAAAAAAAAAGUAUGUUCAACUAGUAAUAAGUACAAACAUUCCCUGUUUAGAACAAAUAUCAGACAUGGCAAAUGACAUAAAAAAACAAAACUCACAUAGCCCAUAGUAAAACGAAGGACAAGAAAAGAUUGAAAUCCAAUGCAGCUCCACUAAUCCAAAUCACCAGGUCUCAGGAUCAGAAAUCGAAAACUGAGCAUAAAUACUUAAUCACGUAAACACUACUAAAAAAAUAAAAAUUAGUGAGGGAAAUUUAGUGAGGGAAAACAUGAAAUCCCUCUCUAAUUCCGUCACUAAAUUUUGCGACCAAGAAAUUUUUGAGGAAUUUUAUGUUUUCCGUCACAAAUUUCCCUCCCUAAUUUUGCUUUUCCUAGUAGUGAAACUACACAAGCUUAUAAUCUGAUCUUUGGAUAUUCGUUCCAUGUUCCUGCCUUCCAUAGUUUUCUAAUCAUACUAUUUGAAUAAUAGUAAAGCCAAACAAAGUUAUGUGAAUUAUGAAACAAAAUAAACAAAUACUAGUUUCUAAACUUUUUAAUUAUUGCAAUCAGAGACUAAUAUUGCUUGAUGAAUAAACACGAGCAGUGCUUAAUCUCAUCUCCUUGUUUAUAGACUAAGAGCUUAUGGUCAAUGACUUUUCCUCCUUCAACAUGGGAAAAAUUCUACAGUUCAUUUGAAAUUUAGAGGGUGUGAUAAAUAAAACUAGCGAGGUACGUAGUAAUUGACGUGUCAUUUGAAACAAACCUGAUGAACUUAUGAACUUGGCCUUGUGCCUAAUUGCUCCAACUCAUGUAACAUAUGAAGAACUAUCACAAUCAUAUUGGAUGAUGGUGUCAUGAAAAACUCUCACUAAAGCAUAAGCUUAAGGUCAAAACUAGAGCUAGGUAAAUAACCUAUUAUAAUAGAGACAAAAAAUAUCUAGAUGACACUUGUUAGUGGAAUAUAAAACAAAAGAAAAUCACUCUUGAACAUAAUAACAUCAGCAACUAGAUACCAAACAAAAUUCCUAGUUGUAUUUAUAUAUAGUUAAAUUUGAACCAAGAACAAGAUAAAUAAAAGCACAUAUUGAGACCUUCUCUUGAAGUACCACACCAACAUGGAGAACAUGUAGACUUACCACUUUGAUGC